RNAcentral lists this unclassified non-coding RNA (354 nucleotides) under uncultured Glomeromycotina. Its description in RNAcentral is "sequence contains 28S rRNA gene". Lineage: Eukaryota; Fungi; Glomeromycota. The record is from RNAcentral.
AGAGUUAAAUAGUACGUGAAAUUGUUGAAAGGGAAACGAUUAAAGUCAGUCAUGCUUGCAGGGAAUCAGCAUGGUGGUUUAUUCUUCCUUGUGCACUUCCUUGCUUAGCAGGUUAGCAUCAAUUUUGAUUGUCAUUAAAGAACCGGGGGAAUGUGGCUUCUUCGGGAGUGUUAUAGACCUUGGUAGAUGUGGCGAUCGGGAUUGAGGAUUGCAGCGAAUGCUUCUUGGCUAGUCACCUGGCUUCUGACGGUCACCUUGCUUUCGAUAGCUUGUUAACGUUAGUGAGAUUUGGUUGUCUAGAUGUUAAAGUGAUCAUAAAUUCGCUAAGGAUGCUGACGUAAUGGCUUUAAACGA